Gymnogyps californianus (California condor) is the source of this 182-nucleotide long non-coding RNA. RefSeq lists it as uncharacterized. The record is from RefSeq and is a predicted model, not a curated record. NCBI's taxonomy places the organism in Eukaryota, Metazoa, Chordata, Aves, Accipitriformes, Cathartidae. The transcript is spliced from 3 exons.
UGAAGUGCUUCAAAAAGCCCUAAGGUGGAGAGCUCUCAAAAAGCUCUCAGGUGGAGAGGUACGAAAAAGUGGUGAACAGCUCCCAAAAAACCAAACCCUGAUGUAAUCCGCGAGCUCUGCCAGGUGAUGCACUCCUCCAAGGUGGGUAGUUGAUGCACUCCUCAAAGGCUGAGCGGAGAAGA